This 442-nucleotide ribosomal RNA is filed under the name Rhodella violacea. RNAcentral describes it as "partial Bacterial small subunit ribosomal RNA". It matches the Rfam family "Bacterial small subunit ribosomal RNA", at positions 1 to 450 of the family's 1533-position model. Lineage: Eukaryota; Rhodophyta; Rhodellophyceae; Rhodellales; Rhodellaceae. The record is from RNAcentral.
ACGGAGAGUUUGAUCCUGGCUCAGGACGAACGCUGGCGGCGUGCUUAACACAUGCAAGUCGAACGGAAAGGCCCGCUUGCGGGUACUCGAGUGGCGAACGGGUGAGUAACACGUGGGUGAUCUGCCUUGCACUCUGGGAUAAGCUUGGGAAACUGGGUCUAAUACCGGAUAGGAACCGUCUUUAGUGUGGUGGUUGGAAAGUUUUUUCGGUGCAAGAUGAGCUCGCGGCCUAUCAGCUUGUUGGUGGGGUGAUGGCCUACCAAGCCGACGACGGGUAGCCGGCCUGAGAGGGUGACCGGCCACACUGGGACUGAGACACGGCCCAGACUCCUACGGGAGGCAGCAGUGGGGAAUAUUGCACAAUGGGCGAAAGCCUGAUGCAGCAACGCCGCGUGGGGGAUGACGGCCUUCGGGUUGUAAACUCCUUUCGACAGGGACGAAG